This 421-nucleotide long non-coding RNA is filed under the name Trifolium pratense (red clover). RNAcentral describes it as "long non-coding RNA (TPRA_LNC013877)". Lineage: Eukaryota; Viridiplantae; Streptophyta; Magnoliopsida; Fabales; Fabaceae. The record is from RNAcentral.
GAGAAAGAAGGACUCUCUGACUAGUGAUUACGCGCCGCGUGAUGGUCAUCACGCGCGGCGUGGCCUUUAUGAAAGAAGUUCUUGACCGUUACAAGUUGUACUACGCGCGACGUAGCAGGGGUCACGCGCGGCGUGACUGCACAUGAAAGCGUGUAAAAUUUGAAUUUCUUCAUCUUCCCAACCACUCCAUCAAUCCCAUCAUCAAUUCACACGUCCUCUCACGCGAAAAACUCCAUUGUUAACCCAUUUUCAUCCUUCAAACCUCUCCAAUUUCAUCUCUAAUCACCUUCAAUCAUCCCAUUCCUUCACACUCACACAAAACCCAUCUUAACCACUCCAAUUCCACUUCCAAUUUCUCAUUUCACCACUUUCCCAAAAUCAACACAUUUCAACCUCCACUCUCCCAUCAUUCAAUCAAGAU